GAUUAACGACAGGGGAGCGCACGUUUUCCGGCACCGGCAACGGGGCAGGACUACAGGGCGCUGAGAGUGCGAUACAUCGCAGACCCUCGAACCUGAUCCGGUUAGUACCGGCGCUAGGGAGUCGAGUUUCUCGGGGU
RNAcentral lists this non-coding RNA (137 nucleotides) under Neomicrococcus aestuarii. RNAcentral's name for it is "TPP sequence". It matches the Rfam family "TPP riboswitch aptamer (THI element)". Rfam says of the family: Vitamin B(1) in its active form thiamin pyrophosphate (TPP) is an essential coenzyme that is synthesised by coupling of pyrimidine and thiazole moieties in bacteria. The previously detected thiamin-regulatory element, thi box was extended, resulting in a new, highly conserved RNA secondary structure, the THI element, which is widely distributed in eubacteria and also occurs in some archaea. The record is from Rfam by way of RNAcentral. Lineage: Bacteria; Bacillati; Actinomycetota; Actinomycetes; Micrococcales; Micrococcaceae.